CCCAUCUCUUCAAUCACUAGAAUUAUAUGAUUGUCCAGAAAUUGAGUCUUUUCCGGAAGGUGGGCUUCCCUCCAGCUUACAUUCACUUGAAAUCCGAAAUUGCGGCAAACUUACUGCUCGCCGAAGAGAAUGGGAUUUGCAAAGGCUCCCUUCUCUUAGACACUUCAGAUUAGUAGGUGAAUAUUGGCGGCAGUUCUUUCCAGAAGAUGGGGUGGAGUCCUUUCCGGAGGAGGGGUUGUUGCCCUCGACUCUUAUGUCACUCAGCAUUGAAAAUCUACCAAAUCUCAAAUCGUUGAACAAUAGGGGCCUUCAACUCCUUGGCUCUCUCAAAUACAUGAAGAUUGAGAAAUGCCCUCAGCUCCAAUCCUUGCUCGAAGAGGGGCUUCCCACCUCUCUCUUUAUGCUGGAAUUCUUUGGCUGUCCAAUGCUAAAACCUCAUUACCUCAAGGGGAAAGGGCAGGACUGGCAUAAGAUUGCUUGUGUCCCUGUCAUACACAUGGAUGGUGAAGUGAUCUUUGAGCAGCUCACUCUUCGUCCAGCAAUGGAUUCUGCAUUUGACACACUGAUAGAGGAUUGGCAAAUCAUUCGGGAAUGUCUAAGAUGUUGAUGAUCUUUUACCAUGAUAUUGAAGUAAAUAUGUAACCUUCUUGGCUUCAACUUUCAACUUUUAUAGAUUGCGUUCAACUUGGGUUUCUACCAAGAAAUAUUGCAAAGUGGGUUGCUUCUUUAUCCGAUAGUGGCUUAUUCAGGUUUUCUGGAUAUGUUUAUCCAAAAGACGUCCUUUUGACUGCUUUAGAAGGAAGCAUCAACAUAGUGCAAAUGAUACUGUAUGUGUCACAAGUGUGAUGUUUAAGUCAUAUACAGGAUCCUUUCCUAUAGUGCAGACUGUGCUGCUUAUUUACUAUGAUAGUAUGAUUAUGCCAAGUUUUGGUAGUGUUAUCUUGUGCAGGGACCUGCCUUUUCAGAUAUAUCAAAAGCAGUGCAAUCUGAACAUGUUCCUUCAAUAUGUUUGUUAGUUGCAUCAAUUGAAUUCAGAGGUCUACAGGCCUAUGGCGACUUCAAGAGGUUUUAAGACAUUACAAAUGGCUAGAAUAUUUGGAAACUGAUUUUGUUUUCGGUAAGUGUUUUCUUGUAUAAUACUAGACUCUUCUAAAAAAAUUUGAAAUAUAUUUCUCAGUUUACUUACUUGUUCCAUUGUCAUGAUUCAUCACCAAUUGGGUCAGUCACUGCCUAGUUUUUAGUUGAAUUUUCAGCAACGUUUGUAAAGACAUCAGUGCAGUUCUUUGAGUUUGAGGAGUUCGAUCUAGAUGUUUUAAGUCGCUACAAAUGGCUAGAAUAUUUGGAAACUGAUUUUGUUUUCAGUUCAUCUUCAAUUGGGUCGGUCACUGCACAGUUUUUGGCUGUAUUUUUCAGCAGCAUCUGGAAAGACAUCAGUGCAGUUCUCUGAGUCUGAGGAGUCUGAUCCAGAUUGGGGCUGCUGGAGUACAAGUCAAGAGAUAAGAAACCCAUCCAUUAAAAUCAUUUUUCCCACAAUUGAAAGAAUGAAAAAUGCAAGUUGUGGAAUCUUAGCUUCAAAAUACCUUCUGUGUUUCUCGCAGGUUAAGAAACCUAGGCAUGCUUCAUGAUGCGAUUCCUUAUCCCAACGAUAAAGUUAAUCAUUCCACGCAUGUCAAGGUAAACACAUUCCCUCCUUAUUGUUUUGAAGUCUGUCUCUUCCAAGAUUCCUUUCUUUUUUUUUUUUUUUUUUUGUUUGAUUGGCAACAAAAGGACAUUUUAUUAAAAAAGAAAGAGUACAAAAAGAGGACAAGAUGUCCUCUACAAUAGAAGAGAAACCGUCAAUCACCAAAACUAAAAAACAAUUUAAUCAUCACAUAUCACUUUUCAAUCUCUACAAAUAAAAUAUAAUAAUAAUAAAAUGAAAUCCCCUUAAAAGGAGUCGAAAUGGAAGUCCAAAACAAUGCUAAAUGACAUACUCUAUCCCGUAUAGAUGCUGUAUCAUCAAAUUCGUCCUCGAAGAUCCUUGCAUUCAUUUCCAACCAAAUCACCCAAAAAUUGAGAAGACAACACAAUGACACAUCACUUUUGCUUUCAUCGUACCUCCAAAGUCCCAAAAAUCCAUUGAAACCAUUACUUUUACUAGACAAGAUCCUGGAGCCACCCAUUGGACAUCAACCAAACAAAAGAGAUGAUGCCAUAGAUCCAAGAAUAAGUGAUCCAAAGCCAUAUAUUAAGGUUAUUUUGUGAAGUUGAGUCAUUUUUCUAUUUCUUGUGGAUUCUCUGCUAUUCUGAACUGUUGUAUUCACAGAUGUGCACCUAGGGUGAAUGCAAUCUUAUUCACUUAUGAGAUGGAAAUGUUGGAAAAAUGGUUUAAUAUAGGCAUAUUUUUUAGCCCAAAUUUGAGUAGGCCCCAAACGUCUUUUGGGGUGGGUCCGAAGAGGUGAAGUGUUCCUUGUCGCGUGGCAAGUCAC
This is a non-coding RNA of Camellia sinensis, 2468 nucleotides long. The record is from RefSeq and is a predicted model, not a curated record. Lineage: Eukaryota; Viridiplantae; Streptophyta; Magnoliopsida; Ericales; Theaceae.